Molecule: ribosomal RNA, 888 nt
Filed under: uncultured marine group I thaumarchaeote
Lineage: Archaea; Thermoproteati; Nitrososphaerota
Description: SSU rRNA
Rfam family: Archaeal small subunit ribosomal RNA
Source: RNAcentral
CCUGCCGGACCUGACUGCUAUCGGAUUGAUACUAAGCCAUGCGAGUCUUUGUAGCAAUACAAGGCAUACGGCUCAGUAACGCGUAGUCAACCUACCCUAUGGACGGGAAUAACCUCGGGAAACUGAGUAUAAUGCCCGAUAGAACAUUAUGCCUGGAAUGGUUUAUGUUCCAAAUGAUUUAUCGCCGUAGGAUGGGACUGCGGCCUAUCAGUUUGUUGGUGAGGUAAUGGCCCACCAAGACUAUUGCAGGUACGGGCUCUGAGAGGAGUGGCCCGGAGAUGGGUACUGAGACACGGACCCAGGCCCUAUGGGGCGCAGCAGGCGAGAAAACUUUGCAAUGUGCGAAAGCACGACAAGGUUAAUCCGAGUGAUUUCUGCUAAAGAAAUCUUUUGCCAGUCAUAAAACCACUGGUGAAUAAGGGGUGGGCAAGUUCUGGUGUCAGCCGCCGCGGUAAAACCAGCACCUCAAGUGGUCAGGAUGAUUAUUGGGCCUAAAGCAUCCGUAGCCUGCUUUGUAAGUUUUCGGUUAAAUCCAUGUGCUCAACGCAUGGGCUGCCGAAAAUACUGCAUAGCUAGGGAGUGGGAGAGGUAGACGGUACUCAGUAGGUAGGGGUAAAAUCCUUUGAUCUAUUGAUGACCACCUGUGGCGAAGGCGGUCUACCAGAACACGUUCGACGGUGAGGGAUGAAAGCUGGGGGAGCAAACCGGAUUAGAUACCCGGGUAGUCCCAGCUGUAAACGAUGCAGACUCGAUGAUGCAUUGGCAUAAUAGCCAGUGCAGUGUCGCAGGGAAGCCGUUAAGUCUGCCGCCUGGGAAGUACGUACGCAAGUAUGAAACUUAAAGGAAUUGGCGGGGGAGCACCACAAGGGGUGAAGCCUGCGGUUCAAU